Molecule: ribosomal RNA, 450 nt
Filed under: uncultured bacterium
Lineage: Bacteria
Description: bacterial SSU rRNA
Rfam family: Bacterial small subunit ribosomal RNA
Source: RNAcentral
GUUAGGAAUAUUGGACAAUGGGGGCAACCCUGAUCCAGCCAUGCCGCGUGCGGGAAGAAGGCCUUCGGGUUGUAAACCGCUUUUGUCAGGGAAGAAAUCCUUUGGGUUAAUACCUCGGAGGGAUGACGGUACCUGAAGAAUAAGCACCGGCUAACUACGUGCCAGCAGCCGCGGUAAUACGUAGGGUGCGAGCGUUAAUCGGAAUUACUGGGCGUAAAGCGUGCGCAGGCGGUUUUGUAAGAUCGAUGUGAAAUCCCCGGGCUCAACCUGGGAACUGCAUUGGUGACUGCAAGGCUGGAGUGCGGCAGAGGGGGAUGGAAUUCCGCGUGUAGCAGUGAAAUGCGUAGAUAUGCGGAGGAACACCGAUGGCGAAGGCAAUCCCCUGGGCCUGCACUGACGCUCAUGCACGAAAGCGUGGGGAGCAAACAGGAUUAGAAACCCGGGUAGUCC